Molecule: ribosomal RNA, 274 nt
Filed under: uncultured bacterium
Lineage: Bacteria
Description: partial 16S ribosomal RNA
Rfam family: Archaeal small subunit ribosomal RNA
Source: RNAcentral
AAACCAGCACCUCAAGUGGUCAGGAUGAUUAUUGGGCCUAAAGCAUCCGUAGCCGGCUCUGUAAGUUUUCGGUUAAAUCUGUACGCUUAACGUACAGGCUGCUGGGAAUACUGCAGAGCUAGGGAGUGGGAGAGGUAGACGGUACUCGGGAGGAAGUGGUAAAAUGCUUUGAUCUCUCGAUGACCACCUGUGGCGAAGGCGGUCUACCAGAACACGUCCGACGGUGAGGGAUGAAAGCUGGGGGAGCAAACAGGAUUAGAAACCCCAGUAGUCC